This 325-nucleotide ribosomal RNA is filed under the name uncultured eukaryote. Its description in RNAcentral is "partial 18S ribosomal RNA". It matches the Rfam family "Eukaryotic small subunit ribosomal RNA", at positions 1470 to 1796 of the family's 1831-position model. The record is from RNAcentral.
CCCUUAGAUGUUCUGGGCCGCACGCGCGCUACACUGAUGCAUUCAACGAGCCUAUCCUUGACCGACAGGUCCGGGUAAUCUUUGAAUCUGCAUCGUGACGGGGAUAGAUUAUUGCAAUUAUUAAUCUUCAACGAGGAAUGCCUAGUAGGCGCAAGUCAUCAGCUUGCGUCGAUUACGUCCCUGCCCUUUGUACACACCGCCCGUCGCUCCUACCGAUUGGGUGUGCUGGUGAAAUGUUCGGAUCGGCCGUUUGUCGCGGUUUCCGCGUCAUGUGGCUGAGAAGUUCAUUAAACCCUCCCACCGAGAGGAAGGAGAAGUCGUAACA